UACGUAGGCAGCAAGCGUUGUUCGGAGUUACUGGGCGUAAAGGGUGUGUAGGCGGUUAUUUAAGUUUGGUGUGAAAUCUCCCGGCUCAACCGGGAGGGUGCGCCGAAUACUGAAUGACUUGGAGUGCGGGAGAGGAAAGUGGAAUUCCUGGUGUAGCGGUGAAAUGCGUAGAUAUCAGGAGGAACACCGGUGGUGUAGACGGCCUUCUGGACCGUAACUGACGCUGAGACACGAAAGCGUGGGUAGCAAACAGG
RNAcentral lists this ribosomal RNA (254 nucleotides) under uncultured bacterium. Its description in RNAcentral is "partial 16S ribosomal RNA". It matches the Rfam family "Bacterial small subunit ribosomal RNA", at positions 524 to 776 of the family's 1533-position model. The record is from RNAcentral.